Molecule: ribosomal RNA, 526 nt
Filed under: uncultured bacterium
Lineage: Bacteria
Description: bacterial SSU rRNA
Rfam family: Bacterial small subunit ribosomal RNA
Source: RNAcentral
AAUAGAUACCCUGGUAGUCCACGCCGUAAACGAUGAGUGCUAAGUGUUAGAGGGUUUCCGCCCUUUAGUGCUGCAGCUAACGCAUUAAGCACUCCGCCUGGGGAGUACGGCCGCAAGGCUGAAACUCAAAGGAAUUGACGGGGGCCCGCACAAGCGGUGGAGCAUGUGGUUUAAUUCGAAGCAACGCGAAGAACCUUACCAGGUCUUGACAUCCUCUGCUAACCCUAGAGAUAGGGCGUUCCCCUUCGGGGGACAGAGUGACAGGUGGUGCAUGGUUGUCGUCAGCUCGUGUCGUGAGAUGUUGGGUUAAGUCCCGCAACGAGCGCAACCCUUGAUCUUAGUUGCCAGCAUUUAGUUGGGCACUCUAAGGUGACUGCCGGUGACAAACCGGAGGAAGGUGGGGAUGACGUCAAAUCAUCAUGCCCCUUAUGACCUGGGCUACACACGUGCUACAAUGGAUGGUACAAAGAGCUGCGAGCCCGCGAGGGUAAGCUAAUCUCAUAAAGCCAUUCUCAGUUCGGAUUGU